RNAcentral lists this ribosomal RNA (561 nucleotides) under uncultured bacterium. RNAcentral's name for it is "bacterial SSU rRNA". It matches the Rfam family "Bacterial small subunit ribosomal RNA", at positions 338 to 917 of the family's 1533-position model. The record is from RNAcentral.
CCUACGGGAGGCAGCAGUGGGGAAUCUUGCGCAAUGGGCGAAAGCCUGACGCAGCCAUGCCGCGUGAAUGAUGAAGGUCUUAGGAUUGUAAAAUUCUUUCACCGGGGACGAUAAUGACGGUACCCGGAGAAGAAGCCCCGGCUAACUUCGUGCCAGCAGCCGCGGUAAUACGAAGGGGGCUAGCGUUGCUCGGAAUUACUGGGCGUAAAGGGAGCGUAGGCGGACAUUUAAGUCAGGGGUGAAAUCCCGGGGCUCAACCUCGGAAUUGCCUUUGAUACUGGGUGUCUUGAGUAUGAGAGAGGUGUGUGGAACUCCGAGUGUAGAGGUGAAAUUCGUAGAUAUUCGGAAGAACACCAGUGGCGAAGGCGACACACUGGCUCAUUACUGACGCUGAGGCUCGAAAGCGUGGGGAGCAAACAGGAUUAGAUACCCUGGUAGUCCACGCCGUAAACGAUGAUUGCUAGUUGUCGGGAUGCAUGCAUUUCGGUGACGCAGCUAACGCAUUAAGCAAUCCGCCUGGGGAGUACGGUCGCAAGAUUAAAACUCAAAGGAAUUGACGGA